AAAAAUAAAUAAAUAAAUAAAUAAAAAUAAAAGAAUUUUUUUUUUUUUUUAUCGUUGUUGUUUGUUUCUUUAAAUUGUGCUAUAAAUCACAUUAACAGCAAAUACAUAUGUAAUUAUGCGUAUUUAUAAAAAUAUAUAGAAAAACCAAAAAACAAAAAAUUGGUUUUCUUUUACUUUUCUUUUACAAAAUUUUGCUGUGCACUCAUCUUCGCCAAUAAAUUCUAUUUAUUGUUUCCACCGAACGCAAUGUUCAAAAGCGAUGUUCUCGGAUCGCGUAUCGACCAUAACUAAAGUUCUGAACAGCAUUGAUCAUCAAGAAUGCCACCAGCAGAGAUCGCACCAAACCAGCAGCAUUUGCUGGCCAUAAACGAGAAAAUAUCGACACUGUGUAUAUGGGAGAGGAUAAAUUUUGAGAUAAACUUUAUAUAACACGGUUAUGUUCGCCUACUAACGGCUCGAAUACAUGAUUAAUUCGAGAUAAUGUUUAUCACAACCUCUGUUCGUAAUGAUCACAGCAGAAAUAUUUGGAUCCAAACUGAGAUCGCUGUGUCCUGUAGGUGCAAAGUUUUUCUGGACAAUAUCAAGAUAACGUUAAAAGCGUCCAGAAAAUAUGAAACGGUCUUAUGAAAUCAUCCCAA
Glossina fuscipes is the source of this 638-nucleotide long non-coding RNA. RefSeq lists it as uncharacterized. The record is from RefSeq and is a predicted model, not a curated record. NCBI's taxonomy places the organism in Eukaryota, Metazoa, Arthropoda, Insecta, Diptera, Glossinidae. The transcript has 3 exons.